GAAACAAAAGCCAAAUUCAGCCCACCAACAAAUGAGGAAUCAGAGAAGGAAAGGAAUCAGAGAAGGUGAUUGUCCACAGACUGACAUUUGGGAACCAAAUAUGGUAGAGGAGUCUUUCAAGAAGUUCGAACCAUAAUGCUUGGGACAGAGGAGUUGAAAGCAGACCACUAUAUGGAAAAUUUGUUUUUAAGCUUCUAGAGGCUACCCACAUUCCUGGGCUAAUGGCCCCUUCCUACAUCUUCAAAGCCAGCAGUGGUG
Long non-coding RNA from Homo sapiens (human), 258 nucleotides. RefSeq lists it as uncharacterized. Lineage: Eukaryota; Metazoa; Chordata; Mammalia; Primates; Hominidae. The record is from RefSeq and is a predicted model, not a curated record. The transcript is spliced from 3 exons.